UACAGAGGGUGCGAGCGUUAAUCGGAAUUACUGGGCGUAAAGCGCACGUAGGCGGCAUUGCAAGUCGGAUGUGAAAUCCCUCGGCUUAACCAAGGAAGUGCAUCCGAAACUGCAGUGCUUGAGUACUUAAGAGGAUCGCGGAAUUCCCGGUGUAGAGGUGAAAUUCGUAGAUAUCGGGAGGAACACCAGUGGCGAAGGCGGCGAUCUGGGAAGAUACUGACGCUGAGGUGCGAAAGCGUGGGGAGCAAACAGG
RNAcentral lists this ribosomal RNA (253 nucleotides) under uncultured bacterium. RNAcentral describes it as "partial 16S ribosomal RNA". It matches the Rfam family "Bacterial small subunit ribosomal RNA", at positions 524 to 776 of the family's 1533-position model. The record is from RNAcentral.